AUCUUUUUAGUAAAAUUUAUUAUAUUAUCUUGAUAAGAUAGAGUUCUUUGUGAAAAGAUA
This 60-nucleotide transfer RNA is filed under the name Allodiplogaster sudhausi. RNAcentral's name for it is "tRNA-Ile". The record is from RNAcentral. Lineage: Eukaryota; Metazoa; Nematoda; Chromadorea; Rhabditida; Diplogasteridae.